GAUGAACGCUAGCUACAGGCUUAACACAUGCAAGUCGAGGGGAAACGACAUCGAGAGCUUGCUUUUGAUGGGCGUCGACCGGCGCACGGGUGAGUAACGCGUAUCCAACCUGCCCACCACUUGGGGAUAACCUUGCGAAAGUAAGACUAAUACACAAUGACGUCUCUAGAAGACAUCUGAAAGAGAUUAAAGAUUUAUCGGUGAUGGAUGGGGAUGCGUGUGAUUAGCUUGUUGGCGGGGUAACGGCCAACCAGGGCUACGUUCAGUAGGGGUUCUGAGAGGAAGGUCCCCCACAUUGGAACUGAGACACGGUCCAAACUCCUACGGGAGGCAGCAGUGAGGAAUAUUGGUCAAUGGGCGAGAGCCUGAACCAGCCAAGUAGCGUGCAGGAUGACGGCCCUAUGGGUUGUAAACUGCUUUUAUAAGGGAAUAAAGUGAGUCUCGUGAGACUUUUUGCAUGUACCUUAUGAAUAAGGACCGGCUAAUUCCGUGCCAGCAGCCGCCGUAA
This 508-nucleotide ribosomal RNA is filed under the name uncultured bacterium. RNAcentral describes it as "partial 16S ribosomal RNA". It matches the Rfam family "Bacterial small subunit ribosomal RNA", at positions 28 to 523 of the family's 1533-position model. The record is from RNAcentral.